AGUGAACGCUGGCGGUAGGCCUAACACAUGCAAGUCGAACGGCAGCACAGUAAGAGCUUGCUCUUACGGGUGGGGAGUGGCGGACGGGUGCGGAAUACAUCGGAAUCUACUUUUUCGAGGGGGCUAACGUAGGGAAAAUUACGCUAAUACCGCAUACGACCUACGGGUGAAAGCAGGGGAUCUUCGGACCUUGCGCGAUUGAAUGAGCCGAUGUCGGAUUAGCUAGUUGGCGGGGUAAAGGCCCACCAAGGCGACGAUCCGUAGCUGGUCUGAGAGGAUGAUCAGCCACACUGGAACUGAGACACGGUCCAGACUCCUACGGGAGGCAGCAGUGGGGAAUAUUGGACAAUGGGCGCAAGCCUGAUCCAGCCAUGCCGCGUGGGUGAAGAAGGCCUUCGGGUUGUAAAGCCCUUUUGUUUGGAAAGAAAAGCAGCAGGUUAAUACCCCGCUGUUCUGACGUUACCCAAAGAAUAAGCACCGGCUAACUUCGUG
Molecule: ribosomal RNA, 492 nt
Filed under: uncultured bacterium
Lineage: Bacteria
Description: partial 16S ribosomal RNA
Rfam family: Bacterial small subunit ribosomal RNA
Source: RNAcentral